GCUGGCGUAGCUCAAUCGGCAGAGNNAGAGCAGCUGAUUUGUAAUCAGCAGGUUGCGGGUUCAAGUCCCAUCGCCAGCUCCA
RNAcentral lists this transfer RNA (82 nucleotides) under Desulfobulbaceae bacterium. RNAcentral's name for it is "tRNA-Thr". It matches the Rfam family "tRNA". Rfam says of the family: Transfer RNA (tRNA) molecules are approximately 80 nucleotides in length. Their secondary structure includes four short double-helical elements and three loops (D, anti-codon, and T loops). Further hydrogen bonds mediate the characteristic L-shaped molecular structure. tRNAs have two regions of fundamental functional importance: the anti-codon, which is responsible for specific mRNA codon recognition, and the 3' end, to which the tRNAs corresponding amino acid is attached (by aminoacyl-tRNA synthetases). tRNAs cope with the degeneracy of the genetic code in two manners: having more than one tRNA (with a specific anti-codon) for a particular amino acid; and 'wobble' base-pairing, i.e. permitting non-standard base-pairing at the 3rd anti-codon position. The record is from RNAcentral. Lineage: Bacteria; Pseudomonadati; Thermodesulfobacteriota; Desulfobulbia; Desulfobulbales; Desulfobulbaceae.